GGGGGCGACCUAGAUUCGACGGAGAUACGGUUUCGCAGGAUGCGUGCCGAGGACCAUCACCCUCGUAAAUCAGAUGGAACACACAAUAACUGCAAACACGCAGCUCGCUCUCGCAGCCUAAACCCCUGUGAGCGUCCACUCCGGUCAGCCUGCGGGCCGGAACUGGAUGUCAUUCAAGCAGGCUGGCUGUUGACGGCCGUCCCGGACGUCAACGGCGAGAUCGUUCCGGGGUUGGCGCGCGGCGGUUGUGCCGCUUCUUCACGCCGCGCGCAACACAUUAGAGGCGGAUACGCAUCGUAGAUUCCUGCGGGGAUGUAUUUUCGGACCCGGGUGCAAAUCCCGGCGCCUCCAAUU
This 354-nucleotide transfer-messenger RNA is filed under the name Acidobacteria bacterium RIFCSPLOWO2_02_FULL_67_36. It matches the Rfam family "transfer-messenger RNA". From Rfam's summary of the family: Bacterial tmRNA, also known as 10Sa RNA or SsrA, is named for its dual tRNA and mRNA-like properties. Lineage: Bacteria; Pseudomonadati; Acidobacteriota. The record is from RNAcentral. RNAcentral also lists the same sequence under 2 other names.